UAAUACAACAUUCUCGAACUAGGACUUGCUCAAUCUUAUACUCUUGAGACAGCUAUCACAAAUGGUCAAAUAUAGGCAUAUAGAUUUUGCAAGUUUUCAAUAGAAAUACAGAAUAGGUUUGUCCUAGAAAAGGAACUAGAAUAUGCUUAGUCAGUGCUGAUUUGGUUAAUUGUCAGUGCACCAUUCAUAAGCUACGAAAAUCGAAUGGGCAGCGAAGACUAAAAAUUUAAGCACCUCAUCUUAAAACUUUGAAAAGCAUUUUGUUAGGGGAUGCAUUGUCUCUCCUUCUCGAGGCUAAGCUUUAUGCUCACAGUAAAGAGUCGUGACCCAACAAACUUCACUAAAAGUUGGAGAGGGGGGUGGAUGGCAUUUCAAAGGAUUUAAUAGCAAACUUUAUCCAUGGAGAGAAAAUUGACAAAUGGCGUUACUCAUUUCACAUUUAUAAUAGUGUAGUUUACAAAACCUAGUGUCAGGUCUAAAUAAUUUUCACUACCGGAAUCCGGGUCUUUGUCGAGUGUUA
Molecule: long non-coding RNA, 520 nt
Filed under: Sorghum bicolor (sorghum)
Lineage: Eukaryota; Viridiplantae; Streptophyta; Magnoliopsida; Poales; Poaceae
Description: long non-coding RNA (SBIC_LNC003599)
Source: RNAcentral